AUGUGGGUCAGCAGGAGUGGACCCUCACAGCUCACAGAGACCUCUUCCCAGUCUGAAUGCUGCGGCACUGUUGCAGUAAAUCCCGGGUGGCGUCCAAAGGAGACGACAAAAGCCGGGGAGAUGGAGACAGCGAAUCCAGAAGCUGUGCCCAUGAGCUCAUACCCUGAUGUGCACAGAAUAACGAAGAGGGGAGCCGUCAGCAUGGUGCCCAUGCUGAGACUCUGAAGUCUGAGGUGCAGUGCCACUGAGGGGGCUCUCUGUGUAAGGAUGACCCCAAAUUUACCCCAAAAGUGAAAGUGACCCCAAAUUUGUGUGUGCUCAUAGUUUUUCUGUAUAUAUAUCUAAAAAAAUACAUUUUUACAUACAACCAACUUUUCUCAGUGCCAUCCUGCCUCUGGGACCUGUGCCCAGUUGCUGUUUUGGGUCUGUGCCACAUUGCCAGGCUUCAGCAGCACAGCUCAGUCUGCCAGUGUGUCAGUCCCAAGUCUUUGUUUCUAUGGAUACGACUUCUUUACUGCCAAGCCUUUCCCCCUCACCCCAGCAUCAGCCAGAGCUGAGCCGCAGGGCAAACACUGUGGGCAAACCAGCAUCACAUUCUUCUCCCUUUUCUUGUAUUUUGGAGAAACAACUUUUGGAAGUUGAAAGUCUGUCGCUGGUUUGAUUAAAACUGAUUGCAUGCUCGACUUAUAGUCUCAUCUUAAAUUAAGAGGAGUGAAAUAGCUGCAAUAAACUACACAUGCACAAUUGCAAUUUCUACAACCUGAGACAGAACCUAAACGCUGAGGCUGUGUAUGCGCAUUUGUGUCGGGGGGAGGAUGGGAGGAGGUGUUUAUUAAUGCAAGCGGAAAACAGCAGAUUCCAGUAGUGACACUUUUCAAAGUGCAGCUCUCCACAGGGGGGCAUUUGCAUACUUAUUAAUCACGUGAAAUUCUGCUCUCCAGAAGGCAGAUCUUACCAAAUGGACAAAAGGUAUAAAAACAAAAAAGGAAAGGUGCAAUAAGUAAUAGCGUUGAGCAUUUUGUUAGUAGUUGCCCUUAGGAUCUUGAAUGUAUGGUUUUUCCUCUUGGUUGGCAUAAAGACAGGCUACAAACCUUGCUAUACAAUCCCUGACCUUGUAAAUGAAAAACCCACACAGGACAAAUUAGUCAGCAGAUCUGAAAUAAAAGAUCCUUUUUGUUCGUCAGCUUGUUGUCAGAUCAACGGGACAAACAAUAUUAAAAAAAAUGGAAAUAAUGACUUUAGAAAUCUGAUUGCGAAUCAUUAGUGUGCUAAUUAUUGCUUCUGUGCAUCAAAACCAAAAGCCAUAAUCAAUUAGCAAUGAAUAGGACAUUCAGGUAUUCUUGUUUACAACCACUUAUCUUUUAAAAGCUUUGAAGGACUACCUCUGGCUUCCACUGAAAGAAAACUCUGCAAUCAUUACACUUGAGCAUUGUUGAGAAUAAAUCUUUCCCACUGUUGGUACAUGAAAUCCAGAAUUAAUAAUUUCAAAACCACAAGCCUUUCAGACUUCGCCAAAACCCACUAUUUGCGGUGGGAGAUGUUGCAGUCGGCAUUCCCGCCCUAAUUAGCUUCUUAGGAUAAACUGGACGUGUGUAAAUACUUGUGGUUUUAAAUACUUUUGAAUCUUUUUUAUGCAUUUUUCAUUUUGUUUCUCUUGUAAGAGAAAACACGAAUAAAGCACCGCUAUCCUUCAUUCAAACAGCCUGUGAUGUGGUUAAGGACAAUGUCUUUGAUGUGGUUGGAAAAGCAAGCGAAGUUUGGAAGUAAAAUC
Molecule: long non-coding RNA, 1771 nt
Organism: Lepisosteus oculatus (spotted gar)
Lineage: Eukaryota; Metazoa; Chordata; Actinopteri; Semionotiformes; Lepisosteidae
Source: Ensembl